This 505-nucleotide ribosomal RNA is filed under the name uncultured bacterium. Its description in RNAcentral is "partial 16S ribosomal RNA". It matches the Rfam family "Bacterial small subunit ribosomal RNA", at positions 28 to 507 of the family's 1533-position model. The record is from RNAcentral.
GACGAACGCUGGCGGCGUGCCUAAUACAUGCAAGUAGAACGCACAGUUUAUACCGUAGCUUGCUACACCAUAGACUGUGAGUUGCGAACGGGUGAGUAACGCGUAGGUAACCUGCCUGGUAGCGGGGGAUAACUAUUGGAAACGAUAGCUAAUACCGCAUAAUAUUGAUUAUUGCAUGAUAAUUGAUUGAAAGAUGCUAUUGCAUCACUACCAGAUGGACCUGCGUUGUAUUAGCUAGUAGGUGAGGUAACGGCUCACCUAGGCGACGAUACAUAGCCGACCUGAGAGGGUGAUGGGCCACACUGGGACUGAGACACGGCCCAGACUCCUACGGGAGGCAGCAGUAGGGAAUCUUCGGCAAUGGACGAAAGUCUGACCGAGCAACGCCGCGUGAGUGAAGAAGGUUUUCGGAUCGUAAAGCUCUGUUGUAAGAGAAGAACGGGUGUGAGAGUGGAAAGUUCACACUGUGACGGUAUCUUACCAGAAAGGGACGGCUAACUACGUG